Molecule: ribosomal RNA, 278 nt
Filed under: uncultured bacterium
Lineage: Bacteria
Description: partial 16S ribosomal RNA
Rfam family: Bacterial small subunit ribosomal RNA
Source: RNAcentral
AACGAACGCUGGCGGCAGGCCUAAUACAUGCAAGUCGAGCGCGCCCUUCGGGGUGAGCGGCGGACGGGUGAGUAACGCGUGGGAAUAUGCCCUUCUCUAAGGAAUAGCCUCUGGAAACGGAGAGUAAUACCUUAUACGCCCUUUGGGGGAAAGAUUUAUCGGAGAAGGAUUAGCCCGCGUUAGAUUAGGUAGUUGGUGGGGUAAUGGCCUACCAAGCCUACGAUCUAUAGCUGGUUUGAGAGGAUGAUCAGCCACACUGGGACUGAGACACGGCCCAG